Molecule: ribosomal RNA, 439 nt
Filed under: uncultured bacterium
Lineage: Bacteria
Description: partial 16S ribosomal RNA
Rfam family: Bacterial small subunit ribosomal RNA
Source: RNAcentral
CCUACGGGUGGCAGCAGUGGGGAAUAUUGCACAAUGGGGGAAACCCUGAUGUAGCGACGCCGCGUGAGUGAAGAAGUAAUUCGUUAUGUAAAGCUCUAUCAGCAGGGAAGAAAAUGACGGUACCUGAGUAAGAAGCCCCGGCUAACUACGUGCCAGCAGCCGCGGUAAUACGUAGGGGACUAGCGGUAUCCGGAAUUACUGGGCGUAAAGGGUGCGUAGGUGGUUUCUUAAGUCAGAGGUGAAAGGCUACGGCUCAACCGUAGGAAGCCUUUGAAACUGGGGAACUUGAGUGCAGGAGAGGAGAGUGGAAUUCCUAGUGUAGCGGUGAAAUGCGUAGAUAUUAGGAGGAACACCAGUUGCGAAGGCGGCUCUCUGGACUGUAACUGACACUGAGGCACGAAAGCGUGGGGAGCAAACAGGAUUAGAUACCCGAGUAGUC